GACGAGGUGGAGCAAAUCUCAAAAAGACCGUCCCAGUUCGGAUCGCAGGCUGCAACCCGCCUGUGUGAAGUUGGAAUCGCUAGUAAUCGCGGAUCAGCAUGCCGCGGUGAAUACGUUCCCGGGCCUUGUACACACCGCCCGUCACACCAUGAGAGUCGGGAACACCCGAAGCCGGUGGCCCGAUCGAAAGAAGGGAGCCGUCGAAGGCAGGCCGGAUGACUGGGGUGAAGUCGUAACAAGGUAUC
Molecule: ribosomal RNA, 245 nt
Filed under: uncultured bacterium
Lineage: Bacteria
Description: partial 16S ribosomal RNA
Rfam family: Bacterial small subunit ribosomal RNA
Source: RNAcentral